RNAcentral lists this ribosomal RNA (468 nucleotides) under uncultured bacterium. Its description in RNAcentral is "partial 16S ribosomal RNA". It matches the Rfam family "Bacterial small subunit ribosomal RNA", at positions 28 to 507 of the family's 1533-position model. The record is from RNAcentral.
GACGAACGCUGGCGGCGUGCUUAACACAUGCCAGUCGAACGGAAAGGCCCUGCUUUUGUGGGGUGCUCGAGUGGCGAACGGGUGAGUAACACGUGAGUAACCUGCCCUUGACUUUGGGAUAACUUCAGGAAACUGGGGCUAAUACCGGAUAGGAUCUCCUGCUGCAUGGUGGGGGUUGGAAAGUUUCGGCGGUUGGGGAUGGACUCGCGGCUUAUCAGCUUGUUGGUGGGGUAGUGGCUUACCAAGGCUUUGACGGGUAGCCGGCCUGAGAGGGUGACCGGCCACAUUGGGACUGAGAUACGGCCCAGACGGCUACGGGAGGCAGCAGGGGGGAAUAUUGCACAAUGGGCGGAAGCCUGAUGCAGCAACGCCGCGUGCGGGAUGACGGCCUUCGGGUUGUAAACCGCUUUCGCCUGUGACGAAGCGGGAGUGACGGUAAUGGGUAAAGAAGCACCGGCUAACUACGUG